AGAGUUUGAUCCUGGCUCAGGACGAACGCUGGCGGCGUGCUUAACACAUGCAAGUCGAACGGUGAUCCGGAAGCUUGCUUUCGGUGAUCAGUGGCGAACGGGUGAGUAACACGUGAGUAACCUGCCCCUGACUCUGGGAUAACCGUUGGAAACGGCGGCUAAUACCGGAUAUGAAACGCCUUCGCAUGGGGGUGUUUGGAAAGAUUUUUUGGUCAGGGAUGGGCUCGCGGCCUAUCAGCUUGUUGGUGGGGUGAUGGCCUACCAAGGCGACGACGGGUAGCCGGCCUGAGAGGGCGACCGGCCACACUGGGACUGAGACACGGCCCAGACUCCUACGGGAGGCAGCAGUGGGGAAUAUUGCACAAUGGGCGAAAGCCUGAUGCAGCGACGCCGCGUGAGGGAUGAAGGCCUUCGGGUUGUAAACCUCUUUCAGCAGGGAAGAAGCGAGAGUGACGGUACCUGCAGAAGAAGCGCCGGCUAACUACGUGCCAGCAGCCGCGGUAAUACGUAGGGCGCAAGCGUUGUCCGGAAUUAUUGGGCGUAAAGAGCUCGUAGGCGGUUUGUCGCGUCUGCUGUGAAAACCUAAGGCUCAACCUUGGGCUUGCAGUGGGUACGGGCAGACUAGAGUGCGGUAGGGGUGACUGGAAUUCCUGGUGUAGCGGUGGAAUGCGCAGAUAUCAGGAGGAACACCGAUGGCGAAGGCAGGUCACUGGGCCGCAACUGACGCUGAGGAGCGAAAGCAUGGGGAGCGAACAGGAUUAGAUACCCUCGUAGUCC
Molecule: ribosomal RNA, 777 nt
Filed under: uncultured bacterium
Lineage: Bacteria
Description: bacterial SSU rRNA
Rfam family: Bacterial small subunit ribosomal RNA
Source: RNAcentral